This 1018-nucleotide long non-coding RNA is filed under the name Ananas comosus (pineapple). RNAcentral describes it as "long non-coding RNA (ACOM_LNC009512)". The record is from RNAcentral. Lineage: Eukaryota; Viridiplantae; Streptophyta; Magnoliopsida; Poales; Bromeliaceae.
GAAAAUAUAUGAGAUUAUAUAUUUCUUUUUUUAAUAAAUUUGUAUUGCUAUUUCAUAGUAGUUAUUGAAAAUUAACAAUUUUAAUGUGGUAAGUAAAAUAUGUCGAAAAAAAUAAAAUUUUAAUAUUAAAAACUUCAAAUACUUUAGAUCAAUUUUAACCGUAUGGAUUGUUGAUUUGAACAUCUUAAGAUCGAAAACAAAACUAUAUAUAGUAUCAAAGUCUCGAUACUACAGAUAUUAUAGAAACCUCGAUACUAUAUAUGUCAAUAAGGCUAUGAUCCAACAAUUGGUUCAGUUGAUCGGAAAAAUACAAGUAACAAGAACAAUUAAUAAUGCUGCAUAAUAUCCAAGUGCUAAUUGUACUAUUUAGUGUGCAUAAGAAAUUGAUGGUGUGUAUAUAUGCAGUGAUUGUUUACAUUAUUUUCUUGUUGAAUGGUGCAUUAACUGGAGCUAGGCUCCGACGUUUUCAAAAGUACGGAGGCCUCAGUUGUUUUUAAUGACGGAACAUUCAAUUCAGCGAUCGGUCUCGUUAGACAUUAUAUAUCUACGUUAUAAUUAGGAACUACUUAUAAAUCAAAUUUUAUAAUUUCUUGACUUUGCUUGUCUAGUAAGCAAGUAAUCUCAAAAUGAACGGUUGAAAAUAAAAAUCUCAUAAAAAAUAGCGAUAAAAUACUCAAAUUUUGAAUUGGAAGUAUUGAUAUUUAACUCUUAAUGUUAAGUAGAAUUCUUCAUAUAAUUUGAAACUUUAAUAUGAUUUGAUUUGUUCUACAGUUGAACUCGUGCCAUAUCGGCUAUUAAAAUAGUCAUUUUUGAGCCACUUUGAUCACUUAAUAAAUGAUGUUGAAAAAUUAUGGUAUUUGGUUUCUAUAUAGUUCUAAUAUCGUAAAUUAUAUUUAACUGGAACCGAUCGUUGAAUCGAAUGUCCUGUUAUCAAAAACAACUUACAACCACUGAGGCUUUCGUACUUUCGAAAGCGUAGGAAACGUACUCCAUUAAUUGUUAAUUAGUGUAAUAGCUU